Molecule: long non-coding RNA, 627 nt
Organism: Mercurialis annua (annual mercury)
Lineage: Eukaryota; Viridiplantae; Streptophyta; Magnoliopsida; Malpighiales; Euphorbiaceae
Exons: 3
Source: RefSeq, a predicted model, not a curated record
AGAAGUUAAAAUGGUUAAAAAUGGCAAUUCAAAGGACUAAAGGAGACUUUUCCCAUUAAAACUUGAAUCAAAUUGAUUUGAUUCUCAGAUCAGCAAUAGAAAAAAAAAAGGACUCAGCCCUCAACUUCAUCUCCUUCCUUAGAAAGCUUAAACAUGCAAGAACUUAGAAUUGCCAUAUCUUGCUCGAUUUUGGUCCGAAUUAGACGAUUCUUGCGGCCACGGAACGGGGAAGGAAAGCUCUAUGCAUCUAUCCCAUAGACUCAAGACAUAUUGACGAGUACGGACUUGACGGUGUUGGCUUAGUGGGGUUCGGCCAUUAUUUUGAUAUCAUGAUUUGGAUAGCAAAUUCGUGUUUUCUUUCAGGUUUAUUAUGUGGUGACGUGGUCGAGCUUCCAUCCACUGUUCUGGAAGUCUCAGUUAUGAGAGUUCCUACCCUUCUUAGAGCUGCAGUAGUUAUGUUAGUAGAUUAAUUCGAUAGUUGACAGUUUAUGUUUUUCAUGUGCUGUGGCAUAAAGAUGUAUUUUUGGAAAAUGGUUUAUCCACACAUUUUGUAUAUGAUUACAUGAUAUUUUGCACAAGGUGGUUUGUGUUUUUAACAGGUGCCAGUAGCACAGUUUUCAAACGUUA